Molecule: ribosomal RNA, 253 nt
Filed under: uncultured bacterium
Lineage: Bacteria
Description: partial 16S ribosomal RNA
Rfam family: Bacterial small subunit ribosomal RNA
Source: RNAcentral
UACGAAGGGGGCUAGCGUUGCUCGGAAUCACUGGGCGUCAAGGGCGCGUAGGCGGCACAGCAAGUCGGGAGUGAAAGCCCGGGGCUCAACCCCGGAACUGCUUUCGAAACUGCUGAGCUAGAGUACAGAAGGGGCAACCGGAAUUCCCAGUGUAGCGGUGAAAUGCGUAGAUAUUGGGAAGAACACCUGAGGCGAAGGCGGGUUGCUGGGCUGAUACUGACGCUGAGGCGCGAAAGCCAGGGGAGCAAACGGG